This is a non-coding RNA of Macaca mulatta (Rhesus monkey), 3674 nucleotides long. NCBI's taxonomy places the organism in Eukaryota, Metazoa, Chordata, Mammalia, Primates, Cercopithecidae. The record is from RefSeq and is a predicted model, not a curated record.
AAAAAAUGUAAGGGGUUCUGCAUUAUGGACUCACUCGGGUGACCGAAAGAUAGCAGAGAGGGCAAUCGUCCCAAAUAGGCAGAGCUUCAGUGUUACAUCUCAUCAUACACCUUGUGUGGAAAAGGUGUUUCCAGUGUUAGAAUAUGCAGGAAUUCAUGGAUAGUAGCAAGUGACAUGACUGGAAAACCCCUCAAGAACCUGGAAGAAGAAAUAUUGACAGAUUGGAGAUAAAGAGAUUGGAGAAAGGGGGAUGUGAAUGGAACUAUGGGAGUAGGCAGAAAGUGUGAAGGUCUUUGUAUCACUUAUUAAUGCCUAACCAGGAGCACCCACAACAGAAUAGACAUUAAACAACUGCAUAAACAAAAUGACUCAGCCAGUUGAUGUCAGUCAGCCUGUGUCAACAGCCACCCCAAUGCUGGCACAAAGGGCACUUGCACAGAAUAGCCUGAUGGCAGAGAUGAUAUGUGCAUGGCUCCAGCAGCACGGACUCCUCUCAUUAAGGCUGAUCUAGCUACUUUUGCUGCCCCAUGUCUAACUUGCCAGCAACAGAGACCAAAGUUGAGCCCCAGAAUCAGCACCAUUCCUCAAAGAGACCAGCUAGUCACUUGGUGGAAGAGAGACCAAGCAGAAUCCCAGAAGAGCUGAUCUCAAAGCUUAUUUUAUGAAGAAAAUUGACCUGAGUGACACAAAGGGUUGGAUUGUAGUAGAUGUCAUGUUUUGCUGCCUAGAUCUCCAUCCAGGGAUGCACCUUCAUUUCCUCAGCUUCUUCAUUUCCUCAGCUUCUUCAUGUCCUCAGCUUCUUCAUGUCCUCAGCUUAUGGGAGGGUUGGCAGCUGCCAUUCUCACCUGAGUACUUUUCUAGGACUUGCCCUUGUCUGAAGAGAGCUGUGUUGCCCAACAUGAUGCCUCCUCCAAGGUACAAUCCACACCCAGUGAUUAAUAAACAGGGGUUACGAAGGCAUGCCUGCUUGCCCCAGUUUGGGACAACUUUACCAGGCCAACCCAGCCUCAAGGCUCUCUGCAGGAACAGGUGAGGCCAUAGUUGUGACUACAUCACAGUUCAAUUUCUCCUCUGCCCAAGCCUCCUUCCUUCAUUCCUCCACAGAUGUUGAUCCUGAGACUCCUUUCCAGUAAACUUCCUCCAUGCAAUCUUCAUCGCAGAGUCUGUUUCCUGGGGAAACUAACCUGCAACUGAUACAAAUGCCUGUUCUGUGAGAUAAAACACUAAAAGUGCAAUGCGAGUGGUAUAAAUAUUCUGCUACAGGAAUACAAAGUCAAAUAUCUUUUUUGGCUUAGGUAGUCAGAGAAUGGAGAUAUUCUGAGUUGGACUUCUGAGAUAGUGGGAUUUGAUAGGUGAAGUGGAUAUGAGAUGGCAUAAGACUAACAUAGGCAGAAUUUUGCUAAAUGAAUUGGAGAUGAAACAUUGUAAGUGCAGGUGCACAAGUAGAAAAGUAAAAUCAGAGCUCAAGGAAGGGGAAGUGAUCCAGCUGGGGGGAAACAUGGGGCCUAUAUCGAGAUAUACCAGGAAAUAAAGCCAGGACAAAUGGCAGGGUAGGACCUGAUUGUUGAGGGUCUUAAAUGCUGGGGUCAAGAUUAUGGCCUUUACUUACAAGUUGGUUGGGCAUGAUUCUGGGAGUUUUAACAAAAGAUGUGGCAAACUCAAAGCUUCCUUUUCAUGGAAAGUAUGGAGAAGUGGAGGUUCAUAUGAUUAAAUCACUGUAAUUUCAGUGUGAACUUCCUAACAAUUUGAGCUAACCAUGAGAUAGGACAACUUAUCAAGCAAUGAGCUCUCCAUUAUCUAAACAGAAGCUAAAUUUCAAGUCCAUGUAGAGGAAGUCUUGUGUUGACUAGAAUAUAAGAUGUUUGGAGGGACUUUUCUUCUUUUUUACUGAUAUUUACUAACUUGGAUAUUUUGCUAAGUGCUUUGCAGGUAUUCUUAUUUAAUCCUCACAAGGCAGUAUGGUAGAUAAUCUAUUAUAUUGAAAAUAAUGGGCCCGGCACGGUGGCUCACGUCUGUAAUCCCAGCACUUUAGGAGGCCGAGGCGGGUGGAUCACCUGAGGUCGGGAGUUCAAGACUAGCCUGACCAACAUGGUGAAACCCUGUGUUUACUAAAAAUACAAAAAUAAGCUUGGUGUAGUAACUCACACCUGUAGUCCCAGCUAUUUGGGAGGCUAAAGCAUGAGAAUCACUUGAACCCCAGAGGUGGAAGUUACAGUGAGCCAAAAUCACACCAUUGGACUCCAGCCUGGGCAACAGAGUAUGACUAGGUCAAGAAAGAAAGAAAGAAAGACAGAGAGAGAGAAAGAGAGAAAGAGAGAGAGAGAGAGGGAGAGAGAGAGGAAGGAAGGAAGGAAGGAAGAAAGGAAGGAAGGAAAACAUGCCAAGUAGACAGUAUUAAACUAAAAAAAAAAAAAAAAAAAAUCCUAAUGUAUUAAAGAAGGAGAAAAGUCCAAAAAGUAGUCAACAAGCAGAGAAAGAAAGAAAAUAUAAAGGUAAAAAUGUAUAUUAUCCAAAUGAGGCCUCUUUCUUAAGAAGAAAAAAUUAAGGAAAUUCAAAAAAUAAGUUAGGAAAUAGUGAGUAAAAUUAUGAAGUUAAAAAUUCACCAAAAAUGUAUUGAUAUGUCCAAGUUCAGCUUGUAGUGAACAGACUCUUCUUAUGCGGAAUUUGAGCAAAGUGCUAACACAACAGAGUUAGGUAAUGGGAUGAGGGUCAGAUCACUCUAUUUUUGGAAACUGGUUUCAUGACUGCUUCCCCUUACUUAGUCAUAGACAGGCUAUAUAAAAAGCUGUUAGAGUGGAAAGAGGGAGAGGAUUUGUGAAUUUUUUUUUUCUAGCAAGUUGUUAUGGUUCUGUAAUAAACCACCCUCCCAAAGGGAUGAAGUUUCGGGGUGUACUCCCUUCACCUCAGCCUAGUAGGGGGACUUCCAGGAGAGAAUGAGAGAGUUUAAUGUUUCCUCAAUUUACAGACGCAAAGACUGGUGCCUGACUUCUCCUGAUAAAGCUAAACCUGCAUGUGGCUGGUCUCUAGUUGGCUAGAUAGUAGUUGUUAAAAUGGAAAGAAACACUUAAUGUUAGAUGCCGUCCAAUAGGACCACCUACAGGGAUGGAAGGUUCUCAGCAGCAAGAGCCCAGAGGUAGAAAUAAGACUCGUAGGGGUGAAGGAUGGAGUCACAAGUAAACACCUGGACAAGGAAGCAUCUGUCCUGGUCCAGAGGCUUCCCCAAUAAAGAUGUCUCACACAACUCUAAGAAGUUAGAACUUGAGAAAAAGACUAACGAGAAAAAGAGUAAGGUGUGUGUGUGUGUGGAAGAGGUGAGGCAGUUGUUUUCCUGUAAAUAAUGUUAAAUUAAACUAAAUUUGGUCUGAGGAUGCCUCGUAACUUGAGUGUCUACAUAACAAACUGCAACCUAACUUAGGAGUAUUUUUUUUUUUUUGUACUAACGAGGUGAGCCUCAGCCAAUCACAGCAGCCAAGCUACAGCCAAUCCCAUGUGGCCAACUGAUCAGCCCUUGCCCAGUAAGACAACUGCUCACCUGUAACUACUCAAGCUGCUUCUGGACCUCAUUUCCAUUUGCUGUUUGUAAACGCUGCCUGCCCACCUAGCUGAGCAGAAGUUUUUGAGGGUUACUUGAUUAGAAAAUUGUUCUUUGUUCAAUUAAACUUUGCUAAAUAUAA